RNAcentral lists this transfer RNA (72 nucleotides) under Nippostrongylus brasiliensis. It matches the Rfam family "tRNA". Rfam says of the family: Transfer RNA (tRNA) molecules are approximately 80 nucleotides in length. Their secondary structure includes four short double-helical elements and three loops (D, anti-codon, and T loops). The record is from Rfam by way of RNAcentral. Lineage: Eukaryota; Metazoa; Nematoda; Chromadorea; Rhabditida; Heligmosomidae.
GUCUCAAUAGCACAGUGGUUAGUGCACAACCCGUGAUAUUUUGAGACGCGGGUUCGAUUCCCGGCUGAGGUG